GACGGGGGGGGCAAGUGUUCUUCGGAAUUACUGGGCGUAAAGCGCACGUAGGCGGGUCGUUAAGUCAGGGGUGAAAUCCCAGAGCUCAACUCUGGAACUGCCUUUGAUACUGGCGACCUAGAGUUCGGAAGAGGUUAGUGGAAUUCCCAGUGUAGAGGUGAAAUUCGUAGAUAUUGGGAAGAACACCAGUGGCGAAGGCGGCUAACUGGUCCGAUACUGACGCUGAGGUGCGAAAGCGUGGGGAGCAAACAGG
This 253-nucleotide ribosomal RNA is filed under the name uncultured bacterium. Its description in RNAcentral is "partial 16S ribosomal RNA". It matches the Rfam family "Bacterial small subunit ribosomal RNA", at positions 524 to 776 of the family's 1533-position model. The record is from RNAcentral.